GUGGGUAUAGCUCAGUGGUAGAGUGCAUGCUUAGCAUGCGUGAGGUCCUGGGUUCAAUCCUCAGUACCUCCA
RNAcentral lists this transfer RNA (72 nucleotides) under Camelus bactrianus (Bactrian camel). It matches the Rfam family "tRNA". Rfam says of the family: Transfer RNA (tRNA) molecules are approximately 80 nucleotides in length. Their secondary structure includes four short double-helical elements and three loops (D, anti-codon, and T loops). The record is from Rfam by way of RNAcentral. Lineage: Eukaryota; Metazoa; Chordata; Mammalia; Artiodactyla; Camelidae. RNAcentral also lists the same sequence under 2 other names.